RNAcentral lists this long non-coding RNA (307 nucleotides) under Nicotiana benthamiana. RNAcentral's name for it is "long non-coding RNA (NBEN_LNC003806)". Lineage: Eukaryota; Viridiplantae; Streptophyta; Magnoliopsida; Solanales; Solanaceae. The record is from RNAcentral.
GCAUUUGGAACUUUGGCAGCCACGAAAUAUUGUUCCAUAUCCCACAGAAAAUUUUCCAACUCUUUUGAACUACGCAAUCCACCAAACGCCUUUGGAUCAGGAAUCUUUACCUUCGACCGUUCUUCAUUGCCUUAGCCUGGAGCAGCCAAUGCCCGUCGAAGAACAGUGAUUUCGGCAUUCAAGUUUUCGACCUCCUUCUUCAGGUCUUUAACUUUGUCAUCCGUUGCCUCACAAGCCUGUUGGAUCCCAUCGCGAGACUCAUCUACCCCAUCCUUUAGACGGUAAAUCUCUGUAAUCAGAUCAGCCA